RNAcentral lists this ribosomal RNA (212 nucleotides) under uncultured bacterium. RNAcentral's name for it is "partial 16S ribosomal RNA". It matches the Rfam family "Bacterial small subunit ribosomal RNA", at positions 29 to 216 of the family's 1533-position model. The record is from RNAcentral.
AGCGAACGCUGGCGGCGUGCUUAACACAUGCAAGUCGAGCGAAGGUGUUUCAAGGGUAACCUUGAGAUACACUUAGCGGCGGACGGGUGAGUAAUACGUGGAUAACUUACCUCUAGGGCCUGGGAUAACCCCGGGAAACGUGGGCUAAUACCUGAUAAGACCACAUUGUCUACGGAACAAAGGGGUAAAAGGUGGCUGUGCAAACAGCUAUC